AGGAUAUUAGGCAUGAGUGUAUUGUCAUUUAUAAAGCAUGAUGCUGAUACGUAGAACUGUUUGGUUCUUUCCAGGUAAUGCAUCCCAUUUAUGUACAGGGGCAAUUCUGAAGCUACAUGACAUGGAAAAAGACUGUCCUUUUCCCGUUUGGCUACAUAGAAUGGCAGUGCUUACUGUUGCAAACAGUGAGUUCACUGUUCAACUCCAGGCCCCAGCCUCUGACAUCAAGCUCUGGAUUGUCUGCUGACUAAAGUGCUAGAAGACAAAGAAACUGAAUAGAAGGAAGGCUCGUGGGACCCCUGCAUUCUGCUUGCUUAUUCUUAGAGGCCACCCCUCCACAGAAGACUUCUUAGGACAUUGCCUUGCUGUGGUUCUGCACCAGUUGCUAUGUCUGGAUAUGAAAUAAUUCUAGCGAGAUCCUCGUUAAAAUGCUAAGCAAAAGCAAAGCUUUAUGAAGCACAUAAUAUUCAUACAAGUUUAAGAAAAAUAUCCAUCCAUUUGGAGAACAAAUGUUUUUGAAACUCUAUGCAAACUCUUAAUUACGAUACAUUUUUACUUUUCAUUAUAGUAGGUUCUUAGAGGACUUUUACUUCAUAGCAUUUUAUACCUGAGUUAUUGUUAUUAUUGAAAGAAAAUUGAAAUAAAUUUCACAAUCCUUUGCCAUAUAUCAUUUUAACUAUUUAACACUGUUUCUCCCUGAAGACAUUACACGUUUUUGGAUUGUUACUAUGUUAGGUUGCUUCCUGGCCAGCCCCUCUCUCAAAGUCAUGAACGGUGAGCUCUUGAUCCAGAGAAAUCAAAUCUUUAAAGGUAAACUCAAUAAAAUAAUGUCACUUUGUUCAAAGAAAAAGCAGAUGAAAUAUCUUAAUGAGAGUUAUCAACUAAGCAAAUAUUUAUUGAGAAUCUACGCGGUUCUUUUGAGGCCCAUGUCUUUGUAGUGUUCUGUCAUAGUAAGAGGUCCAGCUACUCUGAAGCUGCCAUGCUGUGAUGUCCAGGCCACGUGGAGAGGCCGUGUGAACCUGCUCCAGCCAAUAGCUGAGGUCCCACGCAACAGCUCGCAUCAACUGCCAGACAGGAGUGAAGACUCCUCCAGAGAACUUCAGCCUCCAGCCAUUGAUUCAUUCAUAGCCUUCAAGCCCUUCCCAGCUGAGGCACAAGACAUUGUGGAGUGCAGUGCAGUAGCUGAAUUCCUGACCCACAGAAACUACGGGCAUAAUAAAGGGAUUGCUGUAUGCCA
RNAcentral lists this long non-coding RNA (1237 nucleotides) under Homo sapiens (human). RNAcentral's name for it is "HSALNT0299037". Lineage: Eukaryota; Metazoa; Chordata; Mammalia; Primates; Hominidae. The record is from RNAcentral.